This 524-nucleotide ribosomal RNA is filed under the name uncultured Gram-positive bacterium. RNAcentral's name for it is "bacterial SSU rRNA". It matches the Rfam family "Bacterial small subunit ribosomal RNA", at positions 340 to 870 of the family's 1533-position model. The record is from RNAcentral.
UACGGGAGGCAGCAGUGGGGAAUAUUGCGCAAUGGGCGGAAGCCUGACGCAGCGACGCCGCGUGGGGGAUGACGGCCUUCGGGUUGUAAACCUCUUUCAGCUUCGACGAAGCCUUUCGGGGUGACGGUAGGAGCAGAAGAAGCACCGGCCAACUACGUGCCAGCAGCCGCGGUAAUACGUAGGGUGCAAGCGUUGUCCGGAAUUAUUGGGCGUAAAGAGCUCGUAGGCGAUUCGUCGCGUCGGCUGUGAAAACCCGGAGCUCAACUCCGGGCCUGCAGUCGAUACGGGCGGACUUGCGUUCGGCAGGGGAGACUGGAAUUCCUGGUGUAGCGGUGAAAUGCGCAGAUAUCAGGAGGAACACCGGUGGCGAAGGCGGGUCUCUGGGCCGAUACUGACGCUGAGGAGCGAAAGCGUGGGGAGCGAACAGGAUUAGAUACCCUGGUAGACCACGCCGUAAACGUUGGGCGCUAGGUGUGGGGGCCAUUCCACGGUUUCCGUGCCGCAGCUAACGCAUUAAGCGCCCC